This 81-nucleotide small RNA is filed under the name Chryseobacterium sp. Leaf394. RNAcentral describes it as "Flavo-1 RNA". It matches the Rfam family "Flavo-1 RNA". The record is from Rfam by way of RNAcentral. Lineage: Bacteria; Pseudomonadati; Bacteroidota; Flavobacteriia; Flavobacteriales; Weeksellaceae.
AUUCUGCGUAAGGGAUAGAAGCGGCAUCCUUUUGUAAGGAGGAACGACGAGCAAAAGAUAUAGCGGAUAGCCCGACCCGUU